This 2756-nucleotide long non-coding RNA is filed under the name Homo sapiens (human). RNAcentral describes it as "HSALNT0330477". Lineage: Eukaryota; Metazoa; Chordata; Mammalia; Primates; Hominidae. The record is from RNAcentral.
ACAUGGCUAUGAUUGGUUAUAUGAGUUUGUGAAAUUACAAACCUAAUUUCUGGGUGGUGUCAAAGAUGGGAUUACCUGAAACGGAUUCCCACGUUGCUUUGUGAUUUGGUGAUUAUGGUUCUUGACUUCUCUAAGAGAGGAAUAAAAGUGCCACACUCACUAAUGACCAAAUUGGUCAGUUCCACUCAUAUGCCCCCUAUAGCCUCUUUACCAUCUAGCCUUUCCAGAGUUAACCUAUUGUAAAAUUAGAUUGUAAAAAUGGACAGAGUGGCCACCACUCUGGGAUAAGGGUGAAGGACUCAUGGUGUCAUCCCCACUAAAUACUCCAGUGGAAAUUAUCACUUAAUUAUUUGUGAUAUCACCCAGCUCCCCAAAGAGCUGGCCUUCCUUUUCAGCCCCAGUUAUCUUUUGGAAGUGUAACUCUUUCAGUUUGAUUGUCCUGGGAACACAUGCAGUUUUCUCUUGAUGGGGAAACCCCUCUCUGAAGGUCUGCGUUUUAAGUGGCAGAGAUGCAAAAACAGCCUUCUAGACAGAGUUUCUAAUUGAAUUCUCCUCUAUACCGUUAUCCAUAAACUGAGUAAUGCAUCCAAGGAAGAAGAGAGGAUGAGAGAGGUCAGGAAGUUUAGAUUCCAGUAAAAUUUAAAUAGCCACUGAAUUUGCCAUAGCAAAACAUGAGCUAUGAUUCUGUUAGUACACAGGAAAAGUCAAUUAGGUGAACUGAUUUUUUAUGGUGUUGGGAAUAUUAUAAUUCAGGGAUUCUUAACCUAUAGCUUAACCUAUAGGCAAUUUAAGACUAGAUUUCAGGGGUAGGGCAGUGAAACUUCUAAAAUUGCUGUAACAUUUUUUAUUAAGUCAUAGGCAGUUUCCUAGGGAGAGGCUUUUAUCAAAUUCUCAGAAGGGUCCACUGCCAUAAAAGAUUAAGGAACCACUGCAUUCUAUCAUCAUAAUUUUUUGUCUUCUUUCAAAAGUUGAUAUUCUGGUUUUUUUUAUGCAGAAAAGACAAAAGCAUGUACAACUCUGAUAUUUCAUGAUCUUUAAUUUCUUCCCCCUCCUGGAUGUCCUAUAAUAAAUGUACAGGAAAGAAAUAUAAAACGCUAUCCAAACUCAGUUAAUAGCUCUGAGAAAUGCACACUCAGAGUGCUUUAAAAUCAGGUUACAAAUAUCAUUUUCAAUUUGCUGGGGAGAAAAUAGGAAGAGUCCCUUGGAAUACAGAAUAAAUUCAUUCUAUGUACAUUAUCAGUGUUGGUUCAUUAUAUUCUCAUUGGCCCACAACUCAACACAUCUUUAAGAAGCAAAAGUGCAUACACUCUCCCUUACUGACAAUAUUUAGGGGAAGACCACAUACUUUGUGAACUACUGUGAGUUGAGUUCUUGUAGUCAAAGCAGUAGUAGGUGGAGCUUCAUUCUCUGGUAUUAAAAUCCUAAAAGUGAGUAGUGUUAUUAAUUGGGGGCACUUUUGAGAUUUGAUUAAGAAAUUUACUGCUCUUGUGGGUUGUUUCCUCCCUUGUGGGAUGUUCUGGAUGAAUGUCAAGGUCUAGCCCCGGCAGAUUCCAGAAAGCUUGUCCAUCUAAAUUUGCUGUUAAGCCAUGGGAACUUUUCUAUUGCAGUCUUUGGGUCAUGGUAACGUGUAAAGCCUAGAGUUUGUUGAAGGGCACUUUUCUCUCUCUAAAAUUCUCCAUUCCUCACAACUGGUUUUUAUUAUUCCGUGACAUGCUGGGAGUGUUGCUAUGACUGUUUGAGAAGUAUGGGCAGAUAUAUUGCUGGCUGGCUUCUUACAGGAAGAGUUUCCCAUGAUGGGAGUGAGAGACCCCUGGGGCCACCUGGAAACUGCCCACUCUUGUAAGAUGUUGCUCAGCGUUCUUGGGACCCAGGAAUUCACUGCUCCAAAGGCCCUGAGUUCACUUUCAAGGCUUGGUUCUGCAGGGUGUACUCAUGUGUGCACCCUGAGUCUUGAGGAGUAGACAAAGGGCUUUUGUGGAGGAUGAGGAGGGAGAUUGGAUGUGAGCACUGCUGUGUUCAUACGUGUGCUGUGUUCUGAUCCUUGAGAUUUGGAUCAGAGCCAGAGGUGGAAAGAGAAGAGGAUGGGGUGUAGUUGGGGCUGGCCUCCCUAUGCCACUGACUACUUGAGAGGAACAUUGAAGAACUGAAAAUUCUACAAUCGAAGUUGGCUUUCCAGGUUGUUAUAAAGAAGUAUUUGUCAAGACAGGAGGUAUAACAUAUUUCAUUUAAAAGUUUGCUAGCUUGUUUUAUAGCUUUUAAAUAUUUAGACACUUCUUAUAAAAAAGUGAAAACAUAUUUAUGCAAUUCCCAUUAAGAGUUACUGUGGAUAGGAACAGACAAGGACAACAAGGCACAGGGAGACUAAGGGACUUGCUUGGUCACACAGCUGGUUUUUACUUGAAUUGGGGCUGGAAACAAGACUUUCUGACUUGGAGCCCAGUUCUGUAUGGAAUCACAUUAGUUUUCAAAGCCAAGCCUGGUGCUUAUUUUCUGGGAUUGUAUGACUGACAUCACAAUAAGAGCUUGUCUUUGUGUCAUUACUCUUUGGUAUCACAACCUUAGUUCAAGGCCUGUCUUAUUGCAGUUGCCUUCUAACUUGACUUUCUGCUUAAAAUAGUCUCCUCCUCUAAUCCAUUCCUCCACACUGCAGCUAGGGAGAUCUUUAAAGUGCCUCUUCUGUUAUGCCUUUCUCCAGUGAAGAAGCUUGAGCUGGCUUCACGGAGCCAGGAUUGCUGAAUGUUGCCCCAAGGCCUUCC